Molecule: ribosomal RNA, 424 nt
Filed under: uncultured Enterobacteriaceae bacterium
Lineage: Bacteria; Pseudomonadati; Pseudomonadota; Gammaproteobacteria; Enterobacterales; Enterobacteriaceae
Description: bacterial SSU rRNA
Rfam family: Bacterial small subunit ribosomal RNA
Source: RNAcentral
UGGGGAAUAUUGCACAAUGGGCGCAAGCCUGAUGCAGCCAUGCCGCGUGUAUGAAGAAGGCCUUCGGGUUGUAAAGUACUUUCAGCGGGGAGGAAGGUGUUGUGGUUAAUAACCGCAGCAAUUGCGUUACCCGCAGAAGAAGCACCGGCUAACUCCGUGCCAGCAGCCGCGGUAAUACGGGGGUGCAAAGCGUUAAUCGGAAUUACUGGGCGUAAAGCGCACGCAGGCGGUCUGUCAAGUCGGAUGUGAAAUCCCCGGGCUCAACCUGGGAACUGCAUUCGAAACUGGCAGGCUAGAGUCUUGUAGAGGGGGUAGAAUUCCAGGUGUAGCGGUGAAAUUGCGUAGAGAUCUGGAGGAAUACCGGUGGCGAAGGCGCCCCCUGGACAAAGACUGACGCUCAGGUGCGAAAGCGUGGGAGCAAACA